GUCCCGGUUCUAAAGUCCCCAGUCACCCACCCGGACUCAGAUUCUCCCCAGACGCCGAGAUGCGGGUCAUGGCGCCCCGAACCCUCAUCCUGCUGCUCUCGGGAGCCCUGGCCCUGACCGAGACCUGGGCCGGUGAGUGCGGGGUCGGGAGGGAAACGGCCUCUGCGGAGAGGAGCGAGGGGCCCGCCCGGCGAGGGCGCAGGACCCGGGGAGCCGCCCCGGGAGGAGGGUCGGGCGGGUCUCAGCCCCUCCUCGCUCCCAGGCUCCCACUCCAUGAGGUAUUUCUACACCGCUGUGUCCCGGCCCGGCCGCGGAGAGCCCCACUUCAUCGCAGUGGGCUACGUGGACGACACGCAGUUCGUGCGGUUCGACAGCGACGCCGCGAGUCCAAGAGGGGAGCCGCGGGCGCCGUGGGUGGAGCAGGAGGGGCCGGAGUAUUGGCACCGGGAGACACAGAAGUACAAGCGCCAGGCACAGGCUGACCGAGUGAGCCUGCGGAACCUGCGCGGCUACUACAACCAGAGCGAGGACGGGUCUCACACUCUCCAGUCGAUGUAUGGCUGCGACCUGGGGCCCGACGGGCGCCUCCUCCGCGGGUAUGACCAGUACGCCUACGACGGCAAGGAUUACCUUGCCCUGAACGAGGACCUGCGCUCCUGGACCGCCGCGGACACGGCGGCUCAGAUCACCCAGCGCAAGUUGGAGGCGGCCCGUGCGGCGGAGCAGCUGAGAGCCUACCUGGAGGGCCUGUGCGUGGAGUGGCUCCGCAGAUACCUGGAGAACGGGAGGGAGACGCUGCAGCGCGCGGAACACCCAAAGACACACGUGACCCACCAUCCCGUCUCUGACCAUGAGGCCACCCUGAGGUGCUGGGCCCUGGGCUUCUACCCUGCGGAGAUCACACUGACCUGGCAGCGGGAUGGGGAGGACCAAACUCAGGACACCGAGCUUGUGGAGACCAGGCCAGCAGGAGAUGGAACCUUCCAGAAGUGGGCAGCUGUGGUGGUGCCUUCUGGAGAAGAGCAGAGAUACACAUGCCAUGUGCAGCACGAGGGGCUGCCGGAGCCCCUCAC
RNAcentral lists this small RNA (1073 nucleotides) under Pan troglodytes (chimpanzee). Its description in RNAcentral is "retained intron". The record is from RNAcentral. Lineage: Eukaryota; Metazoa; Chordata; Mammalia; Primates; Hominidae.